AUACGGAGGGUGCAAGCGUUGUCCGGAAUUAUUGGGUGUAAAGGGUGUGCAGGCGGGGCGGUAAGUCAGGGGUGAAAGUCUACGGCUCAACCGUAGGAUGGCCUUUGAUACUGUCGUCCUUGAGUCCCAGAGAGGCCAUUAGAAUUCGUGGUGUAGCGGUGAAAUGCGUAGAUAUCACGAGGAAUACCGGAAGCGUAGGCGGAUGGCUGGACGGCGACUGACGCUCAGGCACGAAAGCGUGGGGAGCGAACAGGAUUAGAUACCCUGGUAGUCCACGCUGUAAACGAUGGAUGCUCGGUGUUCGACUCCGUUAGCGGGUUGAGUGCCCAAGUUAACGCGAUAAGCAUCCCACCUGGGGAGUACGCUCGCAAGAGUGAA
RNAcentral lists this ribosomal RNA (378 nucleotides) under uncultured bacterium. RNAcentral describes it as "bacterial SSU rRNA". It matches the Rfam family "Bacterial small subunit ribosomal RNA", at positions 523 to 898 of the family's 1533-position model. The record is from RNAcentral.